RNAcentral lists this ribosomal RNA (497 nucleotides) under uncultured bacterium. RNAcentral describes it as "partial 16S ribosomal RNA". It matches the Rfam family "Bacterial small subunit ribosomal RNA", at positions 28 to 507 of the family's 1533-position model. The record is from RNAcentral.
GACGAACGCUGGCGGCGUGCCUAAUACAUGCAAGUUGAGCGCUGAAGGUUGGUACUUGUACCAACUGGAUGAGCAGCGCACGGGUGAGUAACGCGUGGGGAAUCUGCCUUUGAGCGGGGGACAACAUUUGGAAACGAAUGCUAAUACCGCAUAAAAACUUUAAACACAAGUUUUAAGUUUGAAAGAUGCAAUUGCAUCACUCAAAGAUGAUCUCGCGUUGUAUUAGCUAGUUGGUGAGGUAAAGGCUCACCAAGGCGAAGAUUCAGAGCCGACCUGAGAGGGUGAUCGGCCACAUUGGGACGGGGACACGGCCCAAGACCCUUCGGGAGGCAGCAAGAGGGAAACUUCGGAAAGGGGCGGAAGUCUUAACGAGCAACGCCGCGGGAGUGAAGAAGGGUGUCGGGUCGGAAAACUCUGUUGGUAGAGAAGAACGUUGGUGAGAGUGGAAAGCUCAUCAAGUGACGGUAACUACCCAGAAAGGGACGGCUAACUACGUG